AAGUCGUAACAAGGUUUCCGUAGGUGAACCUGCGGAAGGAUCAUUAACGAGUUUUUGAAAGGGGUUGUAGCUGGCCAUGAAAAUUGGCAUUCUGUGCACACCCUGACUCAUCCACUCUCACACCCCUGUGCACUUACUGUAGGCUUGAGUGGGACAGGCUGACCUCGGUCGGUCUCGAAAACUUUGCUUACGUUUUUACUUACAAACGCUUCAGUCAAAGAAUGUAAAUGUCGCGUGCGACGCAUUUUAAUACAACUUUCAGCAACGGAUCUCUUGGCUCUC
RNAcentral lists this unclassified non-coding RNA (282 nucleotides) under fungal sp. RNAcentral describes it as "partial internal transcribed spacer region". The stretch from base 1 to 46 matches the Rfam family "Eukaryotic small subunit ribosomal RNA", at positions 1786 to 1831 of the family's 1831-position model. The record is from RNAcentral. Lineage: Eukaryota; Fungi.